RNAcentral lists this long non-coding RNA (26490 nucleotides) under Capsicum annuum. RNAcentral describes it as "long non-coding RNA (CANN_LNC020227)". Lineage: Eukaryota; Viridiplantae; Streptophyta; Magnoliopsida; Solanales; Solanaceae. The record is from RNAcentral.
UGGGUGGUGGUGGUGACUUGUAAACUGGAGUUGGUGGUGAUGGUGAUUUGUAGACUGAGUGUGUAGAGAGUAGUAUGACUCCUUAGGUGGUGGUGGUGAAUUGUAAAUGGGAGUUGGUGGUGGCAGAGACUUAUAAACUGGUGCGGGAUUGAUAUAGCUCCUUGGGUGUGGAGGCGAUAUGUAGACUAGGGUUGGUGGAGGUGGUGACUUGUUGACUGGGUGUGUGGAGGGUAGUAAGGCUCCUUAGUAGUGGUGGCGACUUGUAAACUGUAGUCGGUAGAGGCGGUGACUUGUAGAUUGGGGUAUGAGGAGGGUAGUAUGGCUCCUUAAGUGGUUGUGGUGACUUGUAAACUGGAGUCGGCGAAGGUGGCGACUUAUAGACUGGGUGUUUGGAGGGUAGUAAGGCUCUUUGGGUGGGGGUGGCAACGUAUAAACUUGAGUUAGUGGAAGUGGUGAUUUGUAGACUGGGUGUGUGGGGGAUAGUAUGGCUCCUUAGGUAGUAGUGGUGAUUGGUAAAUAGGAGCCGGUGGAAAUGGCGACUUAUAGACUGGGUGUGUGGAGGGUAGUAAGGCUCUUUUGGUGGGGGUGACGACUUGUAAACUGGAGUUGAUGGAGGUGGCAAUUUGUAGACUGGGGUGUGUGGAGGAUAGUAUGGCUCCUUGGGUGGUGAUGGUGGUGACUAGUAAAGCGGAGUUGAAGGUGAUGGUGAUUUAUAAAGUGGUGCAGGAUGAUAAGGUGUUGGUGAAGGAUGGUAUGGCUCUUUUGGUGAUGGUGGAGAUAAAUAUUGAUAAUUUGCUGAGCUUUGGGAAGCCAAGCAAAGUGACACAAAAACCACUAAAAGAGUGGAAAAUAGAGAGGCCAUUUCUCCCAAAAAGAAACAAAGGAGAGAAGUUGUUGUCCCUUUAAGCUGCACUCAAAGCCCUUUGUAUAGCUUUCAUUUAGAAGGUAUAAGGCUAAAGUUAUGUAUUUUUAAUUAGUUUUGUCAUGUUGUCGGUUCAAUUUGACCUUUGUUGGUAUACUUUUUUUUUUUUGUUGGAUAGAAGGUGCAAGCUAAGCAAAGAAAUUAACUACUAUGGCAGCUAUACUAUUUAUGAUGCAAUAAUUCAAAAAAAAAUACGUGGAUCCCACAACUUCCCACAAGAUUUUAGUUAUAGGAAUCUGAGCACUUUUUUUUUACACUUAGGGUGUGUAUGGUACGAUGGAAAAUAUUUUCUGAAAAAUGUUGGUUGUAGUAAAAAAUAUUUUCUAAGAUAAUUCAUUUUUUCCUAUUUGAGGGAAAAUGACUUCCCUCAUGGACCAAGGGAAGUUAUUUUUCGGAAAAUGAUAAAUGUGACUUAUGCCCCCAUCCUCACCCCUCUUCCCACCCCAACAACACUCAUAUUCACAUAACUCAAAAAAUUCACAUUUUUAAAAAAUUUAUUUUACUCAAAAUAUUUUUCACUGUGCUUUGCUUCAAUUUUUCACUGCUUGAAAUAAAAAAUAGUGAAGCCCGACUUUUUUUCAUUUCCAAUGUUCGUUGAAUGUAUUGUUAUUUUCAUAUGCAUAGAGGAAGACUUACCUAUGUUACUUUUGCUAAUUGCAUAUUUUAUUUUGUCAUCGAUGUUACUUCUUUCACGAGGUUGAAUAAGCUUAUCGUCCCGUUAUAUUUCUAUUGAUUGUAGUAUCUUGAGAUUGUCCUGAAAAAAUGUUGAAAAGUGUCUCCUAUAUUUGCUAAUUAAUAGUUGCUUAAAUUUAGUGAUUGUAAUAUUUUAGUAUUCGAUAUUGAUAUUAUUUAUUAUGCUUAAAUUAGUUCUUACAAAUUGUUGAGUUGCUAGAUGCACUGAUAUACUAGUUAACAGUUAGUAGUAUUUUCUAAAAAAAAAAAUUUCACUCACCAAUCAAACACUAGAAAAUAUUUUUCUAAAAAAUAUUUUCUACUCACCAACCAAACACCAUAAAAUAUUUUUCGAAAAUAUUUUUCACUCACCAACCAAACAUGAGAAAAUAAAUAGAAAACCAACUUAUUUUCCAAGAAAACAUUUUUCAUGAAAAAUAUUUUCCAUCGUACCAAACACACCCUUAGUAUUUGAAGAAUUCAAUUCUUGUGGAUUCUGACAGCUUAACUAACCUUCACUUAAGUGCUGAGAAAUUUAAAACAAUAUGUAUACAGUAUCAUAUAUUCUUUAAAAGAAAUGAUAUGUCAUUGUUAAAAGAGUUUAAUCUAGAGAAAACUGUGCAUGUGACUCGCUUUCAUUACCAACUAAAUCAAUUAUGUUCUUUCCUUUUGUGUAGUAGAGCUAAAAGAAACAUCAACCGAUUAUUUUGUAGCUCAAUGUUGAAAACUUAUGUGGUUCAAUAUGAUAUCUCUGAAAAUUUUACAGCUUGUUUGAUAGCUGCUGCCUAAUAAUGUAUUGUAUCGUGUUGCUAGUUUAAAUAUAAUGUGUAUUUUGAUUGUUUCUUAAAUUUUACUGUAUCAUUAAAUCUAUAACUAGAUAGCAAUAAAAAGUCUCAUUUGGUGUAACGACCUAUUUGAUGUGAUCGCGUUGUUACCUUUUUUCCCCUUUUUAUUUAUUAUUUAAUUAUCUUAAUGCUCCUUUAUCCUAUAUUUUUAUAGUAACUCUACCUCACAUUUUUCUAUUUUCCUUCUAGGCUUAUCCUUGAACUGUUAUAUGAAGGAUGCAAUGUAAUGACGAAAAAGGUAUAAUAAAUCCAAAUAUCGUAACAUUCACUAAAAUAAUAAAGUACAUACAAUACAACAUGAUACUUUAUGAAACAAUAUCAUUCCAAGUUAAGGACUUGAUUAGAAUGUGCAUGUUAAGUGUCUGAUGGGUUACUUAAGUAUAAAGUUCAAGUCCAUAUAAAAAGAUAAACCCUAAUUAUAAUGCCUUCAUCAUGGCUGGUCGACAGUAGUCUACUACUGAAUUUCCUCCUUUGAACCCAAAUUCUAUUGUGAAUAUCCAAACCCUACCGUUGGAUAAAUCUUUUGUUGAAUCAAUCAGUACAACAAAGUUGGACACCGUCUCUCGCAAAGAGGUGGUCAUGGUGGAAGGAAUCCCGAAUGUCACACUGAAAAAAGUGGAUACAGUGAAUAAAAUGGAGAAUUUGCAAUUUGUUGUCAUAGGUAAAUUCACUUAAGAAUGGACGGGUAUAGAAGAAUUAAGGAAUAUUAUCCCACAGCAAUGCAACAUUAAUGGUGAUUGUCAAAUUGGAGUAUUCAGAAAUAAACAUAUUUUCAUUCGUUAGACACAGGAGUCGGAUUUUAUUAAUAUCAUCAUCUCAAAGGGAGCUUUUUCCUUGCACUGUAAGGAUGGGUUCUCUUAUUUGAUGCGAACACUCUCACACUUAUCUAUGAUCCCCUUUUCAAAGAAACUUUAGAGACUACAAAGACUUUCGCAUGGAUUUCUUUCCCAAAUCUAUUGCCUACCUAUUAUGUCAAGGAAUGUUUGUUUUCUUUAGCUGCAACAGUGGGAAAGCCUGUCCAACUUGAUCUAGCCACCAUUAAUAGGACUAGACCAAGUUGUGCAAGGAUUAAGGUCUUGGUUGAUCUAAAAGCUGAUUUCUCUAAAUCAGUCCGGAUGGAUAUUGAAAAUGAAGAGUCAGGUAAAUGCAGGACAAUAGUGAAGCGGAUUAAAUUCGACCAUAUUCCUAAGUAUUGUCAUGAAUGCAAUAUGCAAGUUCAUGCUAAGAAUCAAUGUAGAAACUUAGGCACCCCAGAGGAUGCAACAAUGGCAGUAACAGUGGAUAAUAAGGAAUAAAAGAGGCCAGUACAACAUCUUCCUAAAUUCACAAUGCCUUUUGUACACAAAUUUCAAAACGGAAAAGCAUGAGUUCUUUCGAGUGGGAUUGUAGUUGGAGAUCCUACUAACUGGAUGGUUAUUAAAAAUGAUAAGAGGAUAGUUAAUACUUCCCAACAGCCUCUUUUAAUGAUAUAGUUAAUACUUCCCAACAGCCUCUUUCAAUGACAAAUAACCAAUUUGCUGCUCUAGCUACCGACGACAAAGAACCUGCUGAAUUAAACAUUUCGACAAAGGAGAGUUCAAACCUUAAGGCAUGUACGGAUGUGUUCCAAAUAAUAAGGAAAAUGAAAAAGUUAAUCUGUGGUCCAAUAAAGAAUCUGCUAAAGAGUGGGUAUCAAGGGAUUUUGGCAAGCUAGGUGAAGUUCCCAAUUCUGUAAUACCUGUACAGCAACAAGGCAGUCAGCAACUAAGUAAUCAACAACAAAGGCAAGAUAGAGAUAAUAAUGCUAAAGAGAAUAAUAAAGAUGGUAAUGGGAUGGAGAAUGAUAUGCAGGUUAAAUCUUUAAUAAAUCAGGAGCAUAAUAUUGAUGAUGGUCAGCAACAAUGCCUCAUAGUCAAAAAGGACAAUCUGCAAUCUAUAGAAGAUGUGCAACCAGAUACCAAGCAAUAGUCAAUGCAGAUUAAUCAAGAUUUUUACAGUGGAAGCUAUGAUAAUGGAGAUAGGUCAGUUGAGGAAAGUGUGGGGAUAACAGUUGUGAUGCAAGGGGAACAAAAUGUGUGUUUAGAAAUAAUGGAGAUUCCAAAACCAGUGCAGAUAGAUGAAUCAUUUAUCGUUACCAAGAGUUCUCCCAACAAAGUAAUACAUGACAUUGUCUCUCAUAGUUUAGGGUACAUUAAAUGCAGUAAUCAAACUCACAUGGCCAAAGGAGUUAAAGAAGUAGAUGUAGAAGAUGAUUCGAAGGAUCAUGCUCCAUCGGAAGCUGAUUUAUCACCAAGACUGAUGAAAAUCUCUAAAAAAGGAUAAAAAAGAAUGUGGAUGGGAGAAAACUCACAACCUACCAGAGUUCAUCCUAAGCGAUCCAAAUCUGCCCUAAAUUAUCAAUGAAAGCACUUAUUUGGAACAUUAGGUCUGUGAAGACACAACAAGAUUUCAAAGACUUCAGAUGCUUAAUAAUUAUCAUAAGUUCACCGGUUUCAGUUUGUUAGAGCCUUUUCAGAAUGUUAGAUAUAAGAGAAGAUUGAAAAUGCAUAGGGCUAUGUCAAACUGCAAUAGCAAGAUUUGGUUUUUCUCCUCUCAAGAUGUGAUAACAACUGUUAUUAAAGACACUGAUCAUCAGCUACAGUUCACUUGCAGGAGUAGGCUCAGAGCUUAGAUUUAUUACUCUUGUUUAUGCAAAGUGUUCUAAAGAGGAGAGAUUAAUCUUAUGGAAGGAUAUUUAUCAAGUUGCUUCUGGAAUUUCAAAACCUUGGAUGCUAGGAGGAGAUUUAAUGUUGUUUUGAAUUCUGAAGAGAAAAUUGGUGGCCUUCCAAUUCUUGAUGCAGGCCAUGGGGACUUUCAAUCAUGUAUUUCUUAUUGUGAUUUGAUGGAGAUACCUUUUAAAGAAAGUUCUUUCACUUGGUGGAAUGGUAGAGCAGGUAAUGACUGUAUUUUAGAAAGAUUGGAUAGAAUUUUUACUAAUCAACAACAACAACAACAACAACAACAACAACAACAAACCCAGUGUAUUCCCACCUAGUGGGGUCUGGGGGGGUAAGAUGUACGCAGUCCAUACCUCUACCUCUGCUGAAUUUUUACUAAUCAAGAUUUACAAAAUAAGUUCAAUCACAUGAAGGUAGAACAUCUUGCUACUAGUUCAGAUCAUGCUCCCAUGUUGUUGUAUUGUUAUGACAGAGCUAUCAGUUACAAGAAAUCUUUUAGAUUUCUUAAGUUUUGGACUGAUCAUCCUAAGUUCCUAGAAGUAGUAAGGCAGAAUUGGUGUUCUUCAGGUUCUCAGAGUCCAUUCUUAGAUUUCAAAGCAAAGAUUAAGAGAAUUAAAGUUGCUUUGACAAGAUGGAGUAAAGAGACUUCUGGGGAUAUUUUUAAAUAGUUGAUAAUCAGGGAAGAAAUUGUCAAGAUCAAAGAGAAAUUAUUUGAGGAAUGCCCUACGGCUGAUAACAGCGAAGUGUUGCAAAGAGCUCAGUCCGAGCACAAAAUAUAUCUUCGUUUUGAAGAGAUUUUUUGGCAGCAAAAAGCAGGUUAUGACUGGUUUGAGAAUGGUGACAGAAAUAUUAAAUUUUUUCAUAGCACUGUGAAGGGGAGGAGGAAAAGAUUGAAUUUGAAUAGAAUUCAAAUUAAUCAGGGUAUUUGGCUGGAUAAAGAAGAAAAGAUAGCCGCAGAGGUUGUUAUGUUUUAUCAGGACCAAUUUAGACAAGAACAAGAGGCUAAUGUUUUUUCAUAACUGAAUAAUAUACCUAAGAGUAUUUCUGAUGAGCAAAAUAUUGUUUUAAGUCAGUAAGCUGAUCUUGAAGAAGUUAAAAAGGCACUUUUUAGCUUAAAUGAAUAUAGUGCAAGUGGCCCGGAUGGGUUAACAAGUAGGUUCUAUCAGGUUCGCUGGGAUAUUAUUGGUAAUGAUGUUCUUAAUCUGGUGCAAGAUUUCUUAAAAGGUAAUACUCUUCCCAAAUUCAUUAUUCAUACUAAUUUGGUGUUGCUUCCCAAGAAGGAUUUUAUUCAAUUUUUCUCAGAUUUGAGACCAAUUAGUCUUAAGUAAUUUUAUUAAUAAGAUCAUUUCUAGGAUUGUGCAUGACAAAAGUGAACUUCUUUUGCCUAGACUGAUUUCUUUUAAUCAAUCUAAAUUUGUCAAAGAGAGAAGAAUUAUUAAAAAUUUCCUCCUGACUCAAGAGAUAGUUACUGACAUCAGAAAAAUGGGUAAGCCGGCUAAUGUGGUCUUAAAGCUUGAUAUGACUAAGGCUUAUGAUAGGGUUUCCUGGUUUUUCCUGAUGAAGGUUCUAAGAAAAAUAGGGUUCUCAAAAUUGUUUAUGGACUUGUUUUGGAGAUUAUUGUCUAAUAAUUGGUAUUCUAUACUAAUUAAUGGGCGAUCACACGGCUUUUUUCACUCAACUAGGGGAGUAAAACAAAGAAAUCCUUUAUCUCCAGCUUUCUAUUUGAUGAUGCUCAAUAUGUAGGUUAUGAUAUGCCAAAGUGGAGUUCCAAUAUUAAUCAUCUUGCUUAUGCAGAUGACACUAUUAUAUUCGCUGCAGCUAACAGAUACUCUUUGAGAAAGAUUUUUUCAGUGUUACGGGAAUAUGAAACUCAAUCAGGGCAAAAAGUUAAUAAAGAGAAGAAUGCUUUCUACAUGCAUCAGAAUUCAGCUGCAGUUGAUAAACAAAUGGUGGAAGAUUGUGCGGCUAUUUCUAAAGGCCAAUUUCCUUUGAAAUACCUUGAAUGUCCUAUCACUCAUGCUAGAAAAAGAAAGAGUCAUUAUUCAGAGCUAAUUCAGAAGGUUAAGUCAAAAUUACAGGCUUGAAAAGGUAAUAUUCUCUCAUAUGGGGGGAAAGGAGGUCCUUAUCUCUAGUGUUCUUCAAAGUGUUCCUAUACAUAUCCUUUCUGUUGUUGUCCCUCCUAUUUGUGUAUUGAAGGAGCUUCACAGAAUAUUUGCAAAUUUUUUUGGAGUAAUAAGGCCGAUGGAAGAAACAAACACUGGGCUGCUUGGGUAAAGGUGUUUUUACCAAAACAGAAGGCAGUUUGAGUUUUAGAUCGAUGUUUGAGGUAUCUCAAGCCAUGUAUCCUAAGUUCUGGUGGAAGUUCAGAACUCAAAAUACUACUUGGUCCAACUUUAUAUGAGACAAGUAUUGCAAAAAGCAAAUACCUUCACUAGUUUAAUGGAAAGGUGGCUCGCAAGUAAGGAAGCAUAUGUUGCAAAAUAGGGAUCUAGUGGAGCAAUUCUUGUGGUGGAACCUAAAGGAGGUACUUCUACAGUUUGGUAUGAUAAUUGGACUCAACUUGGUCCUCUUUUCAAACACCAGGUAGAGGUCAUUCUUCUUUUCCAGUGAUGGAUAUUGAGGAAUUCAUGUUGGGCUCAGACUGGGAUUUUGAGAAUAUGCAAUAUCAUUUAUCAGAUAAUGUAGUAGAGCAUGUAAGAUUACAUUUGAGGCUUGUACGACAUCCUGGAGAAGGUGACAAGCCCUGGUGGAUUAAAUUUAGUUCUGGCAAGUUCUCGGUUAAAAGUGCUUGGGAAGAACGGAGGAAAAAAACGUUUGUAAUGAGUCAUUUCAGAAGAUCUGGGUAAAAGAGAUUCCUUUCAAAAUUUCUUACUUUGGUUGGAGAGUUUGGACAAAUAGGAUUCCUGUAGCCUCUGUUUUAGCUAAUUGGAAUCCUAACUUGUCUCCUCUUUAUUCAUAUUGUGUUUCAAGAAAUCAUGGAGCACCUCUUUCUAAAAGGUGAAGUGGUUUAUUUCGGUUUGGAUUUAUUACGCCAAUGCUGCAGGUAUUCUGGGGCCCUGGGUUCAAAUUAAACUAUCCAUAAAGAAGUGGUGGGAUAUAAAUGGUAAUUAAAGACAAAGAUUCAUCUUUCAGGUAGUUCCUACUCUCAUUUUGUGGUUUUUACGGAAAAGAAGGAAUGCAUUAGUUCAUGGAGGUUCAUACUCUACAGCCAAGGUUAUUUGGGAUAUUAAUGGUUUAAUUAAGAAAAUUCUCAGAAAGAAGUUUGGUUAUGAUCAGUUACCAUCUAGUUGGCCUCAAAUAGUUGCUUUUUGACUUAUUUAGACCUACAUUUUUAUCUAGAUGGAUAAGAUGGUAUCCCCCACCUAGGGGAUAGUGGAAAUAUAACACUGAUGGAACCUCGAGAGGUAAUCUAGGUCGAAUUUCAGCUGAUUUUUGUGUACGAAAUCAUGUAGGUGAUCUUGUGUAUGCUAAGGGUUUCUCUAUUCCAGAUUCCACUAAUCUGGUUGUUAAAGUCAUUGCUAUAGGAGUUGGUUUACAUUAUUGCUUAGAAAAUCAAAUUGUCAACAUUAUUGUGGAAUCUGAUUCCCUUGUAGUAGUCAACAUGAUUAAUGGAGUGUGGGAAAUUCCUUAGAGUGUGAUAAUGGAGGUCAACUCCAUUAAAGAUAUGAUGGAUUCUUGUUCAGCAAGAGUACAACACUCCUUAGGAAAGGGAAAUACUCUUGCUGAUUAUUUAGCUAACUUGGUUUUUCAUUUUGCAGGUAACUUUGAAUUCAACAGUUUUCAUGAAAUUCCAAGCGCAGGUAGGAAGAUUAUCAAUCUAGACAAACAAGGCAUUCCACAAAUGAGGAUAAGACAGUGUACAUCAACUAAUUCAACAAGGGAUGGAUCGCUACUGCAGAUUACAAAGUGAAUUUACAAACUCUAUUAGCAGUGACUAGUUACUGGUGAAUUUAGUGCAGUCUGAAUUAGUUUCGUUUGGUUAACAUACCAUGCACCUGUGGGAAUUUUUAGGUGUUACAUAGAGUAUAAACCCAGGACUCACUUAUACUAGUUGCUAAUUUCUAGGUAUAGAGUUUAUAAAAAUCAAGCACAAAUUUAGAGGCAUUUCAUAGUCUCAAAUCUGUUGAUGAGGAGAGGAUGGAGUACCCGGGACCUCAAAUUUAGCGGCGGAAGAUAGACAGGGUAUAAUUAUCAAGCAAUACAAUUCUUUUAUACAGAUUCCACUUCAGAGAAGAACAAAAAUAAUCAUUGCCAACUUAUGGAUUGCAAAGUGUCAAAAUACAAAUUUCAGCAUUUGGAGUAACACAAGAAGGCAAGGAGCAAGAUAAGUAUUAAUGGACAGUAGUGGUGAUUAACAUUCACUAAUACUGAUUGAUUUCUAAGUCAUACAAUUGAAAUGGGGGUUAAGGUGAACCUGUUAGUUCUGGAUCCUUGGUGGUGGUAUCAAUCUCCUUGAGGUUUAUUCCGCUAGGAAAAAGAGAGAACAGUGAAAUCAUUUUUUUCAUUUCACAGAUGAGUUUAGAAUAGAAAAAGGGAGGUGACUUACCAUAUCAUCUGCAAUAAAUAUUUAUUGAUUUGGAGCUGUAGAAAUUUAGUUGAAACCAAUUUCAUGAAGUUUGUAAGAGAUUAAAGUGUCUUAGUGAAAUUUGAUGGAUGUUCCAUGGCAAUAAUGGCUUCCACAACUUAAUGCAACAACCAGAUGAGGUUGGAGUAGCAAAGAUUGAAACCAUAGUUGCCUCUCCGUGAUGUCUUUCAGCUUUGAGUUUUAUCCACACAUUCCUUUUCCUGCUUACAUUUUCUGUUUUUGGUCUUUUCAGAUGUCUGGAUAUAUUUGUUGCUUUUGUUUUGGACCCGGGUCUUGCUUAACUUGGGCCAAUUUGUACAUAUCUUUUCUGCUCCUGAAUAAAUUGGGCUCUGGUCCAUCUUCAAUUAAAAAAAAGGAAAAAUGACAUGGACUGACCAGUUUAAAAAAAGGAAAUUUUGCAUAUAUACCGACAUGUUUACUCUUAAUUACCAAAAAUUUCAACAUUUUUCAAAAUCUCCAAAAAUUCCAACAUUUGACCUCUGAUAAUACAAGUUAAUCACAUUAGAUACAUACUGUUGAUAUAUGUAUCUAAUGUGAUUAACUUGUAUCAUACAUUAGAUAUAUGUAGGGUUACAUUAGAUACAUGUAGGGUUACAUUAAAUACAUGUAGGGUUAACUUGUAUCUCAAAAAUAGUCCCAAAUAUGAAAUGUUGGAAUUUAUGUAAUUUUUCAGAAGUAGGGGGAUUUUUAGAAAUUUUGAAAGUUAUGAUGUUUAUUUAUGUAAUUUUUUGUUAAAAAGAAAAAAAAUAGCCCACACUAUGAAAAUAUGGACAAUUGGAGCCAGUAGACCCAAUUUAUUUCCUGUUUUUUCAGUCAUUUGGCCCAAAACUAUUCUCCUUACACAAUUAAGGGGAUUAAAUACUCUUCACAGUAGGCUACUCUUAAAUCACUUUUCUUUUCAAACUAUACUUUCCCAAAAAAAUGUUCACCUCUAUUAUGUGUCGAUCAAUCUACUGUGUUUUGUGAUAACAAUUGAGUUAGUAGGGCACAUGCAGUCUCUAUACCCAAUUGAUACACUUUUGUACCAUAUUGAUACAUGUUUAUACCCAAUUGAUACUCUUUAUACUACAUUGAUACACUUUUAUACUCAAUUGAUACUCUUUUAUACUAGAUUGAUACACUUUUAUACCACGUCGAUACAGUAUGUAUAUUACAUAAAUACAUCUUUUACAGAGGAAAUUUGUGCAAGCAUAUACAGUAACAAUACCAAAUUAAUACAGUAAAUCAAAAUUAGUAAGUACGAACAUAAUUGAUACUCUUUAAAAUUAUAGUAUUAAUAGUACAUAAAGUAACAAAAAAAAAGAUCAAAUCAUCUUUCCAUCAAUUAUUGUUUUGAUUUAGUUCAUUCUUUCUCCUUAACGCUCUUUUAUAUUUCUAACUUCCUCUUCCUACCUUUAUUUUCUCUUCUUUUUUUCUUUCCUUCAUUACUAAGUUAGUUGUAAACACCCAUAUGAUGAAGUAUGUAUUUACUCUUGAGUUGAUGUCAUAUUUAUCCUACUAAGAAAAAUCACAGGUUCUGUAAGGAAUUGUCUAGACAUGGAGUACAUAUAAAAAUUUAUUCUGCCACUUGAAAAAAACCUGUAAAAAACUAAUUAAAUUCAGAUUUUUUGAGAUUUUAUACAAAAUUUAUGAAAUGAGAAAGGUAAAUUGGAGUAUCGAAAAAAGGUAAAGGAACAAAUAUUUAGGAGUUUGAAUGGAAAGGAAACUGGGAAUGAAAAGAAAAGAAAGAAAGGGAAAGUUACUUCAAGGAUGUUUUUGAUUUUGUUUAAGCGUAUGACAGUGAAGGUUAGUUAGUGGAAUUACUCUGUGUCUAUUUAUGAUGUAUUUAAUUUUGACUGCUAUUUUUUUAUAUUAUUUUAGUUUUAGGUGUUAUUUCUGUCAUUUGCCCAAAAAAAAAAACUUACUAUUUUACUACAAUUCUUGUUGGUAAGAAUACAUUAUUUCUUUUUUUUUUUUAGGGCAAACAACAUAAAUUUCGAGAAUUUGGAGCUUAAUUACAGAAAAUUCUGAUAUUUUGCAUAAUUGUUGAAAAUCUCAAUUUUGGAUCUGUUGAGAUACAUUAUUAGCUUCUGAUACAAUCAAAAAGAUACAUUUUUAACUUUGUAUAGAUAUAUAAUUAGCUUCCGCUACAUAUUUUUUAAAUUUUGCGUUUGUUGAGAUAUAUAAUACAUCCAAUGAAGAUAUAUUUUUUUCUUUGUAAAGAUAUAUAAUUAGCUCCCAGUGCAGUUUUUUUAUUUUUGGGUCUGUCGAGAUACAUAAUAAGCUUUCGAUACAUCCAACGAAGAUAUAUAAUUAAUUGAGCUUUUUGUAGUUAUUUUGUAAGAGUGAAAAUUUUGUAUAAAUAUAAUAAGUUAAGAUGUAUAUUUAUACUAUUUUUCCAUAAUUUGCUUGCGAACCAAAUCGACCACUAAAGAAUUGAAAAGUUAAACAAUUUGUUCCCAAUACAGAACAAACUUUAGCCUAAAAUUUAAUGCUAAAAAUUACUACAAUGAGCUGAGUGGCUGAAAUGGUGCCACUUAAGAAUAAUUUGGUGGAUGAAAUGAAUGAAUUGUUUUGGAGUACAAAUUUUGAUUUAGACAAUCUAUUGAAAUUUAUUAUAGUACUGUUUAUAUUUAGGGGCCAUUUUUCAGGAUCUAUGAAAAAUUUAUAAUGUUGAGUAGAACAUACUAUAAAAGUAAUGUUGGAUAGAGCAUAUCACACAUUAGCACAAUCCUAAUCAAUAAUGAUAGCUAUUCAUCUCUAGUUCACUUUUAUAGUUAAUCAAAGAAUUAUUAACAACGAAAAUUAAUUUUCUUGUUUUGGUUUUCUAUCAUUGAAUCAGCAAUAGUUUGAUAUAAGAACUAUUCAGAACAGACUAAAUUAAAGAGAAAGAUGGAAUACCGUCAAUGAAAAUAAUAGGAUAUGAUAUCUUCAAAGAUAAAGAAGGCAGUGAACUUUUUACACAUAUAAUACGUAUAAUUAUUAAAGAAUAUAAAAGAAAUUAAAAAAAGGACAUACAGUACAUAUAUAAACUGGAAAAGAAGAUCAAUAAUGUAAAAGUUUGAUGUUAACACUGUUCCUUAAUUAAAAUUUCCAUAAUGAUUAUACUCGCUAUUUUCUUUCAUUUGCACAAAUCAAUAUGCUCCUUUCCCCCCUUUUUUUCUCCUGAUCACUCCUUAAAGAACGAGACAUAUAGCAUACAUAGAGAAGAGAGUACUUUGUCUCCCUCAAUAAAUACCUUGAGAAAAAAAUGUAACUCAUUAGUAGUUUCUUGAUUUUGUAAAAUUUUCUUUAUUUAAAAAAGAGUAACAUUGGAAGAAGGUCAUUAGUAUCUUUUUUAUUAUCUAAAACAACAUUUAUUAUCUUUUUUAUUAUCUAAAACAACAUUUAUUAGGAGCAAAAUAAAAAAGCUAAACAACCACUUAUUAGAAACAGAGGGAGUACUAAUUAUCUGAUAGUGUUUUCAGUGUUACGCAUCAUGAACUAAAAGCUUAAUUUAAGAAGCAUUGACUGCUUAAUGAAAUCUUUUAAUUCACAAUGAUAAUAAGGAAAUCCAAUUUGUGUUGUAUCAUUCUAGCCUUUCCAUUUUUUAUGGAGACAAAGCAUUAAUAGACAAAUGGAGAUUGGACAUAUCAAGAUUUCAGUCUCAUCCUGUCAAAUCAUUAAUUGUAAAACCUUCAUGUAUUUCUAUGUUCAGCCUAAGAUAUUAAGGGGUUAAUAUUCUUUCAAAACAUGGAGAGUUUCUGAUAUUGGGAGACAUGGUUGUUUGUCGAAUAUAUUUAUUUCUCAAUAAUUGAAAUAUAUAAUUGUAUUUGAUGUGAAGAAAGUAUUAGUUAAAAUGCAGUUUGGUUCAUUUUGGCUAGGGAUUCCAUCCUUUCCAUGUAUAAAAGUUUUUGAAUGUAAGGAUGAGAAAUCAAGGUAUCUGCUACACUUUUUUUAUAUAUACGUGUAGCGCAUGUAUCGAGAAAUUAGUAAAAGAAAAAAAAAAUUCCUCAGCUAAUUCUCAAUCAACACCAACUCCAUCUUAGGAAAGUGUGGUUGGUUCUGUUCUUCCUCGAAUUCAAUGAAUUUUUGUCAUAUUGUCAUACAUAUAACGAAUAAUAUAUAUAUNNNNNNNNNNNNNNNNNNNNNNNNNNNNNNNNNNNNNNNNNNNNNNNNNNNNNNNNNNNNNNNNNNNNNNNNNNNNNNNNNNNNNNNNNNNNNNNNNNNNNNNNNNNNNNNNNNNNNNNNNNNNNNNNNNNNNNNNNNNNNNNNNNNNNNNNNNNNNNNNNNNNNNNNNNNNNNNNNNUAUGCCUCUUUUCCUCUUUAAAUUUUAAAGUAAUAAUUAAGAAGAAAAAAGAAGAAGAUACUAUUCAAUAAUUUAAUUCUGAUACCAUCAACAUGGAAGACUCCAUUUGCUUCAUCUAACAAUGGACUUUGGCAUUAUAUAAUUAACAAAACAAUUAAUUAUUAGGAUAACUUAAUCACCGACAAAGGUUUCUUACUAUUAUCCUUAUGAGAUUCCACUAGUUAAGCUAAAUAUUUUUAAUCGACGUAAGAGUUAUGAAUGUAUAAACAAGUAGAUCUUAGCUACAUUGACCUAGUCAAUCAUUAUUAUUACCGACAUAUUUAUGCUAUACAAAUAUUUGUCCUAAUGCUAUCUUUUAUUUAUUUUUUUAAUGGAAAAGGGUCAAAAAGAUUCCUGAAUUAUUCGAAGUGGAGCAAAAAUAUCCCUCAUUAGUUUUUUGUCUCAAAAGUAUCCCUCUCUAAUGAAAUAACACCAAGCAUGUCAUGUAGACAAAAUACGUCACUUGAACAGUUCACGUCAGAUCGACCAUCUUUAUUAAAGGUGAAUGCUCCAUUAAAUGAGAGAUUUUCCAUGUGGAUAUUGGCGCCUAGCGUGGACUGUUCAAGUGGCGCUUUUUGUCCACGGACAUACUUAGUAUCAUUCUGUUAGAGAGAUGAAUAGUUUUGAGCCAAAAAUUUAAUGGAGGAAUAGUUGUAAGCAAAAAAAUUAACGAAAGAUAUUUUUACUUUAUUUCAAAUAAUUUAGGAAUAUUUUUAAUCGUUUUUUGCUUUUUUAUGAUUUCUAAGUUGCUUAUAAUUUUUUUAUUACUACAUGAUUAACAAUAUUUUUUUAUUUCCAUAAAUAACAGAGAGUAAACUAAGUUGCACCUUAAUGGUCGAAAAGUAUUCACUAUUUUUUUUAGACUUAAAGAGGUGAUUCUGAUACAUGUCUUAUGAACAAUCAUUACAAAUUUUAUUAUUUUAAAUUUUGUUUUAGAUAAGUCUAUGAUUAAGUUGUUGGUGACCAAUUUAUUCAAUUGAGUGAGGCUGGCAUGUCCAAAGAUUUUAGGACGAAGAAACGGGUUAUUAUGUUAAUUAGGUAGAUUUAUUUUAGGGAGAAAUAAGACAUAUGCUUUAAUUUGUAAAUAUUAAUAAGUAUUUUUCCAUUUAAGCAUAGCUUCUUUUAAAUUUAAAUUAGUAAUCAAACAGUGUUUAGUAGUAUUUUCUACCUUGUUGGCUUUGUCACACAUUUGAGAGAUGCUAAAAAUGUGUAUUAAAAAAAAAAUAAGAUGGAAAGAGAAGCAUACUGGCUCAAAGGUAAAGCCGCUAAAACGUGCUUUAAGGUUCAAAAAUAGUAUUUUUAUUAUAUAAUUAGUCUCUCCUAUGUUUUACAGUUUAUAGUCUAUAUGCAAUAAAUCAAAUUCUAUUAUAUAAUUUUUUAUAUAAAAAUAAAAGUUUCUUUAAAGUUAUUAAAGGAUGUCCAUUUGUUGUAAUAAAAUACAUUGAUUUUGGUUCUCAGAAUCCUAUUGGUACAUAAUAAACUUUGGCUAUUUUAAUUCAAAGUUUUAAAAUAUCAAAUACAAUUCUAUAAUCUUUAACUAAAAAUUUAAAAAUAAGAUUAUUAAACUUCCGAUGAUAUGAUUGUAUAAGAAAAUAAUAAACAUUUUAAAAUGUUAUUGUAACUUUAUAUAAUACAUGUAACAGUAUUUUUCUAGUGAUUAUAAGAAGAAUUUUAUUGAAAAAUCAAACGUAAUUGUAACUUGCGGUAUUGAAAGUAAAAUUUGAUGGCGAGGAAAAUAUGAGUCCAUUCUUAUGUCAUUAAAAUUUAUAAACCUUUUUAUUAAGAUGACUUGAAAAUGGUAUUUAACUAUAUAUAAUUUAUAAUUUUUUAAUUAUCAUAAAUAAAAUAUUUCAUUUUCGUGAUAUUUUAGUUUGGAUUGCUUUCUAUCUAUCAUUAAUGACAAAAUACAUCGUCAGACCCCUUAAAUUGACACCAUUUUUCACUUUGGCAUCUUAAGUGGACAUUGUUCACCUUUGGCAGUUCAAAUAACCAUAAAGUGUAUCAUUUUGACAUCUUUCGACAUCAAUAAAAGUGUGUGUUACACUCACUGUCAACGUGGAUAAAACGGCCAACUGAUUUAUGCCAAUUCAUUUAAAUUGCCACAUCAUUAUUUAUAUUCACAAUUAGUUUUAAAAAAAAUAAAAUCAAAACAUAUGGCAAUUAAUGACAUAAUUAUCUAACUCAUUAAUAUAUAUACAAAAUUAAAUUAAAAGAAUCAAUUAAUUACUGACACGUGACAUUUUUCAAAAUAAUUAUAAAAUUAUUUAUUUUAUUUGGACAACCCUCCACCCACCUCCCACCCCCAAACUCCAAAGUCAUCUUCUCUACCACCAUCUAUCCCCCCGAUACCCCCCACCCUAAAUCAUCUUCUCUAUUUGGCAACACCCCUCUUCCCGUCAUGUUCUCCAUCUCCCUCCCCCCCCACCACCCCCAACCCCUGCCUGAGUCAUCUUAUCCUCUCCAUUUGCCCCUUUGAAAAGAUGAACACUCAAUCAAAGAUUAUAGUAUAUAUGUAUAUCAAAGACCUUGAUUAGUCAUAGCUUGACCUCAAAAAUUAGAAGGCAUUAAAUGACUGUUUUUUUUCUUAACAAAAAAUAAAAAAGAAAUGAUUGACCUUGAAAUAUAUUCAUCAGUAGUAUGUGUGAACCUAUUCUUUGGCAACGCAGUGGUCUUCUUACUACUUCAGUUGCAGUCAUAACAUGUUGACAAAGAUGGUGAUUGCUCAACAACAAAUCACUCGUUGUUGUUAGUGUGUUAGUGUGUUUCGUUAUUCUUGAAAAGUUCAACCUCCAUUAAUGGAAGUUAAGCUAAAGAAAGGUUGUGUGAAGAAGGCAAUGUGAGGAAAUUUUUUGUAAUUAUUUGGUCAAUAAAACAUGUGCCAUUAAUUUAUUGGAUCAAUUUUUACUGAUUUGGCAAUAGAGAUUUUCAAUAGUUUUAAAAAAAAUUUAAAGAUGAAAAAUUACAAAAAUAUCCCUAAAAAUUUAUGAAAAUACUCUUCAAACGCUCCAAAAAGUGAGCAACGUCCACUUGAAGUGCCAAAAUGAAAGAUAGCACCAAGUUGAGGACCGACAAUAUAUUCUUUCUUCAUUAAUUAGUGCAUGUACUACUCCUGUACUCCAUUGGUUUUGAUUUUUUCUUGUUCCUGCACAUUAUUUCUCCUUUUUUACUGUCUAUAUAGUACUAUUUUUUAACUUAGUAUGUUGAAAUUAAUUAUUUUUUAUUUGCAUAUGAAAAAGAAAUACUUAACUAGAUUGAUUCUUAUUCGUAUAUAAAAAGUUAAAAUAGUGAAAUUCAAGAAAAAUAUAUGAAUUUUAUAUUUGGCUUUAGAUGGCUAAUUAUAUUAAGCCGCCCUUGAAGGGACGGUGAAUUGUAAUAUUUUUUGUGGUUGACUAUGAGGCGAGCUAUAAUAUGAAAUCAAAUAAGUAACAUAGUAUAAUUAUGUGCUAAGUAAUGUGUCAUAUGAUAUUUUUCAAUUGAUUUGAAUUCAGUGUGAAUUAUAGUUAGUCCUUCCUUUUGGAUUUUUGUUAAACUGAAAUUUUCAUUUUUAUUACAUAGAGAGAGAAGUUAUAAAAAGGAUGAUUACAACGUGUUGUAACUUUUCAGGACGAAGAACAACAAGUCAUUGUUUUAUUAAAGAGGGAUUGUCCCUUGUCCAUAUCAGCUUUCAAGAAAAUAACAGAACAAAUGUUGAAUCUACUACUAUGAGAAAUUCAUCAUUUGUUUUGUUGGAGUUAGCCAAUGUCUGCUUUCUCCUUCCUAAUCCUAAAAUUAGCCAAACCAACUUUAUCCAACCUAUAAGUCCUUUAUAUUCAUCAUUAAGCUCUUGAAAUUGUUGUUGAGUACAAUGUUGAGGGUGUACUUAAUUUCUAAUCAUACAAUAGCGGUCUUUUUCACUCUUUGUAGUUGAUAUAUUGCCUCACCAAACACUAUUUUCCUCUCUUCGCUCUUUUUAAAUACACAAUAAAUGAAUUAGGAAGUUACAAUGCUUGUUAAGAAUAGCAUAGAGCUUUGGAGAAUGUUUGGACAGGAUGUACAGUUUCUUUUCCUAGAAGGCAUAUAUAGUCUUUGUGUGCUUGAUGUCUUGAAAAAGGAUAGAGAAAGACAAUCCAUACUACAUGAAAAAUAUUGAAUUGAGACAUAAUAUUUAUCAAUGGACAAGUCUGGCAUAGAGUUUAAACGGAUUUGUGAUAGAAUUAACUAAUUUAUAGUGUUGAUUUUAAUUUUUUCAAAAAUAAAUCAUAAAAUAGAUUGCCUAGCUUGACGUGUUAUGUGAUAUUAUGCAUAGAUUAAGUCCAUUGGAGGUUGUCUGAUUAGAGAAUCGGACAAUGCUUAGCAUGGGAAUUUCAUUGAAUAUGGAGCUAAGUGAGACUUUAAUCUCUCAUUUACUUGCUUUUUCAAAAGCAUUAUUUAAAACUGAGAAAUCGCUUCAAACUACUCCUCCACCCCAUUUUAGUUGGGCACAUUCUAUUUUAUACGGUGAUUAAGAAUCAUAAAUUGAAUGAUAAAUUUUACGAUCUUACCCUUUACUCAUAUUAAUGUUAUUCGUUGGGCAUAAGAAUGAACAUUGAAAUUGAAAUUGUUAACAUUUAAUAUAUACUAAAAAUUGUAGGGGAAAAAUAAAAAAAUAAUUAAUUUUAUCCUAAUUUAGUAAGUGGUCUUUUUUGGUGGGCUGAAACGCAUUAAAAAGAAAUAGCGGAGUAUUACAGUAGCACCUGGAUUAACCAGGAUCUACAAAAUUUGAGUUUGAGCUUAUGCCCUCUAAUGAAACAUUACAACACCUUGUUUGCCUAAUGAAACUAGUUCCUAGGAUGUCAGCCCAGGUAGCUUUGCAGCAUACAUUGGAGGAAUUACAAAAGAGUUUCUCUGUCCACAAACUUUCAGUCUUGCUCCUUCCUUAGCUAAUGCAUCCUUCACCAUAUUCUGCUCUUUAUAGCAGUGCUGGAUUUGUGGUCGUCCCAGACUCCUGAUUAGCAACCUGCAUCCAUUAAUUAUGGCAUUAUAGUGGAGGUUUCCCUCUUUGAGCAUAAUAAUAACCUUUUUCGAGUCUACAUUGAUGUCCACGGGAACUAAGGACAUUUCCUCCAUAAUUUUUAGUCCCUUUAGUUGAGCAAAGAGCUCCAUCUGGUUAUUAGUAAUCACAGGGAAAACUUUUUUGAAACCUGUAGUCCAAUUCCCUUCAUUGUCUCUAAUAACCCCUCCAAUACCACCCCUACCAGGAUUUCCCAAACAUGAGCCAUCAGUGUUAAGUUUAAAUCUUUCUUUAGAGGUUGGUUCCCACUUAACACUAAUGUUCAAUAAUCUAUUUGUCACGACCUGAAUCAAGGUCUGGCCGUGAUGGGCAUCCCUAGCCAACCAAGGUCGGAGAUGACCCCUAACCUUACCUCAAGAGCACAUCAGUAAAAACAAACAACAAAAUCCAACCAAGAUAAAAAGAGAAACAUAUGAUUCCAAAAGAAAGUUAAGAGUCAAAACCAACUCCAUAAUAAUAUCCCGACACUGCCUACAAAAGUCUCUAAUCCAAAAAUACCAACUAAGUCAAGACAUGUCCCCGACUAUAACAAAAGAAAUUCAAAAGUUCUGAAAUGAUAAAUGUAACUAAGAAAGAGGCCAAGUCUUUUGAUAGUUCAUAAGUUGGUUGAACUUGUGUUGAACUUAUUGUGGAUUAAAUACAAAUUUUGUACCCAGAAUAACAAUCUUAAGGAAUUUAUUAAUAAUUUUAAUUUUUGAGUUUCUAGAGAUUAAAACUUUUUGCUUUCUACGCUGUUUGAACUUUAUAGUGAUUUGAAGUUAUAAAAACUUCAUCACGGGUUAAUGUUCAUUCAGUUGAUGAUUAGAAGAACAUAAAAGCUUCAACAUUAAACUAGAAAUAAGUUGUUUAAAGUUUUUAAAACUUUAUUCUUAGUAUUUUGACUUACUAAAUUGGUUGUCUUUUUGUCACAGUAAAAAUGAUUAUUGAAAAUCAAGUUAAUGAUGGAAUGGUCAAUGUCACAACAACAAAUAUUGCUACUUAAAAUCGUUCAAAUGCUGCUCCGCCAAGGCACUGACAGAAAAAUCAGAAAGUUUUCUAGUGUGGAUUUUAAAAGAUGGCAGCAGAAGUUGUUCUUUUAUCUGACUACAUUAAAUCUACAAAGGUUCAUCACUGAAAGCAUUUCAGAGUUUUCGAAAGAAAUAUCCAAAAAUAUACUUUAUUACUACAAAAGCUUGAAAGCACUUGAAUUUUUUAUAUAAGAACUACAUACUGAGUGGCUACAACAUGGCAUGUACAAUGUGUACAGCAAUAUGAAGACCUCUAAGGAACUAUGGGUAGCUUUGGAAAAGAAGUACAACAUAGAGAAUGCAUGAAUGAAGAAAUUUAUUAUUGCAAGAUUUGUAGAUUUUAGGUGGUAGACAGUAAUACUGUAGUUACCCAAGUUCAAGAACCGCAAGUCAUCAUUCAUGAUCUCCUCACCAAAGGUAUAAAUUUGUUCUUGAUACUUACAUAGUCUCUGAUGUAGGCUUAAUUGUGAACGAGGCUUAUCAAGUAGCUGCUAUAAUCGAGAAGUUACCACAUUUGUGGAAAGACUUCAAAAACUACUUAAAGCACAAGCACAAGGAGAUGUCUUUCGAAGACCUUAUUGUGAGGUUAAGAAUCGAAGAGGACAAUAAAGCAUCAGAAAAGAGGUCUCGAUGGAAUUUACAAUAAGUAGAGAAAAUAUUGUGGAAGACGACCCCCAAUAAAUUAAAGAGAGAAAGGAAGCGUCAGGACAAUAAGGCAAUCCUCCUAAGAAGAAAUUCAAAGAAAAUUAUUUUAACUGUGACAAAGUUGGCCACAAGUCUUCAGAUUGUCAGGCUCCUAAGAAGGACAAGAAAAGAGGAUCAAGCUAACAUGGUUGAAUCCAAGAUGAUGUGGAGAUCUAUGUGCUAUGCUUUUGGAGUGCAUGUUGGUUGAAAAUCCUAGAGAGUAGUGGAUUAAUUCAGGUGCCACUAGCCACAAUGUGCCAACAAAAAAUUAUUUCCAUUAUAUUUUCUGGCUCAGGCUAAUGAGAACAUAUUCACGGUAACUCUGUUACGGUAAAGAUUGAAGGAAAAUGCAAGAUUUACUUGAAGAUGACAUUGGGCAAGGUGGUGACACUAAACAACGUCCUUUAUGUUUCAAAGUUGCGAAAGAACUUAGUUUCUACUUCACUUCUAACUAAAAAUAGAUUCAAAUAAGAAUUUGUUUCUGACAAAGCUGUAAUUAGUAAGCAAGAAGUGUAUGUAGGUAAAGGUUACUUCAUCGAGGAUUUUUUUAAGAUCAGUGUAAUAAAUGUUGAAAUCAAUAAAAAUUCUGUUUCUUCUUACUUACUUGAGUUAAAUGAAUUAUGGCAUGAACAUUUAGGACAUAUUAAUUACAAAACUUUGCAAAAACUGAUUAAUUUAAAAAUUUUGCCUAACUUUGAGUGUAAUAAAUCAAAUUGUCAAACAUGUGUGGAAUCUAAGUAUGCUAAGCAUCUAUAUAAGUCUGUUGAAAGGAAUUUCAAUCCCUUAGACUUAAUCCACACAAAUAUUUAUGCUAUGAAGUCAAUACCAUCUCAUGGUGAGAAAAAGUAUUUCAUAACUUUUAUUAAUGAUUGCGCUAGAUAUUGUUAUUUUUAUUUGCUAAAUGAUAAGAAUAAAGUAAUAGACGUAUUUUGGUAAUAUAAAACUAAAGUUGAAAACCAGUUGGAUAAAAAGAUCAAAAUAAUAAGAAGUAAUAGGAGUAGAGAGUAUGUAUCUUCUUUUGCAGGGGUAUGUUAGAAAAAAGGAAUUAUCCAUCAAACUAAUUUCCCGUAUUCACCUCAAUCAAAUGGGAUUGUGAAAAGAAAAAUUGAAUGUUAAAGAAAAUAAUAAUUGUCUUACUCAUAAGUUCAGAUAUACCGCAAAACUUGUGGGGGGAAGUUAUCCUUACAGCAAAUCGAAUACUCAAUAGAGUUCCCUAUAAGAAGACACACUCUAUCCUAUAUGAAAAUGAAAAGGAAGGAAACCCAACUUGAAAUAUUUCAAAGUGUGGGAUUGUCUAGCUAAAGUCCAAGUCUAUAUACCUAAAAGGAUAAAAAUAGGACCAAAGAUUGUGGAUUGUGUGUUCAUCGUAUAUGCUACAAGGAGUAAAGCAUUUCAAUAUUUGGUUCAUAAAUUCGAACCAUGAAAAUACGAUAAUCUGAAUCAGAUAAUAUUAAGUUCUUUGAAUACAUUUAUCCGUAUAAAAUUGGACAUGAGAUGUCUAGUGGAGGAUCUAAACAACCUCGAGAUGAACCAAAGGAGAAUGUACUUAAUAAUGAGAAUCAAGGUGUAGUACACGUCAAAUACCGUCAAUUUUCUUUGGAUAAGAUUUUGUAACAUUUCUUCUUGAAAAUGAGCCUUAAAAAUUGAAAGAAACGAUGUCGUCUUCAGACCCAUCCUUUUGGAAAGAGGCAAUCAAUGGUGAUAUAGAUUCAAUCUUGAGCAACCAUACUUAGGAAUUGAUUGAUCUUUCUCCGGUAAAUAAACCUUUAGGUUCUAAAUGGAUCUUCAAAAGGAAAAUAAAAGCUAGUGGUACUUUUGACAAUUAUAAGACAAGACUUGUUGUGAAAGAUUUUAGACAAAAAGAAGGCCUUUAUUAUUUCGAUACAUACUCGCCAAUAACAAGGAUAACGUUCAUUCAGAUGUUGGUUGCGUUGACGACAGUAUAUGAUGUUGAAAUUCAUCAAAUGGAUGUGAAUACAACGUUCUUAAAUAGAGAAUUGAAGGGAGAAAUUUACAUAAAACAACCUAAGGGUUUUGUAGUUUCUGGUAAAGAAAAGAAAUUGUGCAAACUUGUUAAAACACUUUAUGGAUUAAAACAAGCACCCAAAUAGUGGUAUAUAAAAUUUGACCAAACCAUGUUGGCAAACGAUUUCAGGAUAAACGAAUGUGAUAAAUGUGUUUACAUUAAAGACACUCCAAAUCACAAAGUCAUUAUUUGUUUGUAUGUGGAUGACAUGUUGACCAUCAGUAGAGACAUUCUAACAUAAAUGCUAUGAAAUAAAUGCCUGAGGGCAAGUUUGAUUUGAAAGACCUUAGAGUUGCUGACGUAAUCUUAGGGAUAAGAAUUUUUAGAACUCCAUAGGUAUUGGCGUUGUCACAGUCGCAUUACAUUGAAAAGGUGUUUGACAAGUUCAAGCAUUUAGAUUUCAAUAUUGUUGAGACUACAUUAGACAUGAGUUUUGCAUUUCAAAAGAAUGAAGGUGAAAGUAACUCACAGUUGGACUAUGCAAGAGUGUUGAAAAGUUUGGUGUAUAUAUCAUAAAUUGUACGUGAGAAGACAUAGAAUGCACUAUUAGUAAAUUAAGUCGGUAAAAGACUACUCCUAAUCAAACUCAUUGGAUGGAUAUGAAAAAAGUUUUAGGGUAUCUAAAACAUACCCAAGACUAUGUUUUUAUUAUAACAAAUAUCCAGCGUAGAUGAGGUGACUUUUCAAAAUAAUGUAAUUUUUCGUGAACCAUUACUUUCUUUCUGAAGCACCACAUUGUGGCUAUAAAUGCCUGAAUUUUUCCUCUGAUAAAGGUAUGAAGAUUUGAAGGGAAAAACAUUUUCUUUUUCUUCUUAAAACUCUGGUAUGAUCUUCAAACUAUUGAGUGAGUUCGUUGUUCAGAAAAUUUGAGGUACCACUAUUUUUUGAAGAGAAUCAUUUUUCGUAGGGAGGAUAUAUUCCUUUAACCUCGAGUACUUGACUAGAAUAAUUUUUUUAAGGAUACAUCGUGAAUUCAGUGGAUUUGACUCAAUCGUUUCUGUCUUCAUCCCAUUUUCUUAAAGUUGGUUUUAUUAUUUUUCCAGAAAAAUAGUUUGAACAUUAUAUUGAUAGUUCUUCAUUUGUUUGAACUUGUGUUUGAAGUUUUUGAAACUUCAUUUUGAUAGGUUAUAAGUUGUUGAACUUGUGUUGAAGUUAUUGUGGAUUAAAUACAGAUUUUGUACAAAAAAUAAUACGAAAUAGCUGUGAAACCUUGGGGAGCGACCAACUAAAAGAAUUUGCACCGAAGUCGAUCCGAAAUCACUUUCAAAGUAAUGGCUUACCACGACACAAUAUUUUCAGUUCCAUAUUAAUAUUAGAGUAAUUUUUCCAACAAGUGGCAAAGUUUGUUAUUUAACUACAAAAUUUGUUCGUCAACAAAUCCUUGUUUUUCUUUUGUUGGGUAGUAUAUUUUGGUUUUAUCUAAUCAAUCUAUUGACAAGCUAAGCGCCUACGAAAACGAUGUAGAUGUUCUACCUACGGGGGCGGGGGGGUGUCUAUUACAAUUACAAAAAUAAACUGAAUGUUGAGUUUCAGUUCCACUAACACCUUGCAAAAGUGAAUUACCCAUGAAAGAUGGGGGUAUUAUAUCAAAAAAAAAAAACAUAUCUUUUGUUGUUUUCUAAUUUCUAACGAUAUAUUUUUGAUCCAUUGCUUUCCCAUAGUAUGCUAACUUGACAGCCACUUUUUUUUGCUUUUCUAUAUACGUGGAACACUUUUUUUUUCGUCAAAAUGCGAAUCAUAAUUUAAUCCGUCAAUUUUUACUAAAUUGUAAUUGUCUUUUUUUUUUUAUAAACAGAGAUAGCAGGUAACCCAAGAAAAAAAAAUGUCUAGCAGAACAUAUUACGCAUCCUCGAAACUACUAUGACCUAUAAAACUAGAUGAUAAAAAAAUUGGUUUUAUCAUACUGGCACACUUGUAGAUGUUCCAUAAUUCAUGUAAAUUUACUUCAGAUGAAUUGUAGUUUUUGUGUUCAAAUUCAUAUAAAAACGAAAUGAUUUAAGUUUCGUUCUUUGAAUAUCGCCAUACAGAAAUAAAAUAGAACAAGGGGAGUACUUUUCUAGGUCUCUAUUUGAUAUUUUAUCAGUAACAAUUUGAAAAUAGUCAUAACUCAUACACGUAGUAGUAGGUGGAAAUGUUUCUGAUUGAAUUCGGCAUAAAAAUAUUUUUAUGGAAAAAAAGUUUCUUCUAGUUUUGGUUUAUAAGUGGAUCAAUUUUUGUGGAAAAAAAGUUUCUGCUAGUUUUGGUUUCUAAGUGGAUCAUUCCCUAGCGCUCUACUAAAUGAUUUAAUUUUAUAUAAAGAAGAUGAAAUUAUAAGAAAAAAGAGAAAAAAGAAAAAGACUAGAGAUCUAAAGAAGGGAAAACUUAAAGUAUGUGGUAAUAACUUCUUUUAUUCAUCACAUAAUCUCUGCAUUUUGCAAGGAGAUUGAAACUGAGCAAACAUACACAAAGACAUAAAAGUAAAAAUACAAAUAUAAAUAGAGUACAAACAAUAUCACUAAUAACUUAGAGAACAUGAAGCUACAAAAGAACUUCGCCUCCCGUGGGGCUUAUUGUUUACUCUUUUUUCUUCUUUUUGGCAUUGCCUCUCGAAAUGGAAAAUGCCUUUCCUUGAGCUCAACAUUCUGCUUUUCCUGCAUAAGAAUAUAAUAUUGUCAAUGAGAACAUAUAGUAACUGAUUAAUAAACCUAAUAAGUAGGAGAUAGCAUAGGCUUAUAUAUUAAUGCGUUUGCAUGAAGAAAUUGUGCAACUUGUAUUGAUUUGCAUUUAGACAAAUCAUUUUUAAGAAUUUUAGUUUGGCUUAAUUACCUUAGAUUUGAUGUUGUUGUUUCUUAGUGAUGGUAGGGAGGAGGUGGAGACUUGUAAACCGGAGUUGGUGGUGGUGGAGACUUGUAUACUGGUGCAGGAUGGUGUGGUGUUGGUGAAGGAUGGUAUGGAUUCACUGGUGGUGGUGACUUGUAAACGGGUGUUGGUGGUGGUGGAGAUUUGUAUACUGGUGCAGGGUGGUAUGACUUCACUGGUGGUGGUGGUGACUGGUAAACGGGUGUUGGUGGUGGUGGAGACUUAUAAACUGGUGCAGGAUGAUAUGGCUUCACUGGUGAUGGUGGUGACUUGUAAACGGGUGUUGGUGGUGGUGGAGACUUAUAAAUUGGUGUGGGAUGAUAUGGUGUUGGUGGAGGAUAGUAUGGCCUCUUAGGUGGUGGUGGUGACUUGUAAACUGGAGUUGGUGGUGGUGGCGACUUGUACACUGGAGUGUGUGGCGGGUAGUAUGGCUUUUUGGGUGGUGGUGGGGACUUGUAAACUGGAGUUGGGGGUGGUGGAGACUUGUAAACUGGGGUGUGUGGAGGGUAGUGUGGUGGUGACUUGUAAACUGGAGUCGGGGGUGGUGGAGACUUGUAAACUGGGGUGUGUGGAGGAUAAUGUGGCUUCUUUGGUGGUGGUGGGGACUUGUAAACUGGAGUGUGUGGAGGAUAGUGUGGCUUCUUCGGUGGUGGUGGUGACUUGUAAACAGGAGUUGGUGGUGGUGGCGACUUGUGAACUGGUGCGGGAUGAUAAGGUGUUGGUGAAGGGUGGUAUGGCUUCUUAGGUGGUGGUGGAGAUUUGUAAACAGGAUGAUGAUGGUGUGGUGGAGGGGACUUAUAUACUGGGUGGUGAUGGUUUGGUGGAGGAGACUUAUAUACUGGGUGGUGGGGUGGAGAUGGAUAGACAUGCACUGGUGGAG